GAUGAACGCUGGCGGCGUGCUUAACACAUGCCAGUCGAACGGAAAGGCCACUGCUUGCAGGGGUACUCGAGUGGCGAACGGGUGAGUAACACGUGGGUGCUCUGCCCUGCACUUCGGGGUAAGCGUGGGAAACUGGGUCUAAUACCGGAUAGGACGACGGUUUGGAUGCCAUUGUGGAAAGGUGUUCGGUGUGGGAAGAGCUCGCGGCUUAUCAGCUUGUUGGUGGGGUAAUGGCCUACCAAGGCGUCGAAGGGUAGCCGGCCUGAGAGGGUGUACGGCCACCUGGGGACAGAGGUACGGACCAGACUCCUAGGGGAGGCAGCAGUGGGGAAGAUUGCACAAUGGGCGCAAGCCUGAUGCAGCGGCGCAGCGUGGGGGAUGACGGCCUUCUGGUUGUAAACUCCUUUCGCUAGGGACGAAGCGCAAGUGACGGUACCUGGAGAAGAAGCACCGGCUAACUACGUG
Molecule: ribosomal RNA, 465 nt
Filed under: uncultured bacterium
Lineage: Bacteria
Description: partial 16S ribosomal RNA
Rfam family: Bacterial small subunit ribosomal RNA
Source: RNAcentral